AUGCAUUCAUUCAACAUAUAUAGAAGAUACAUCAGUUUUCUUCACUCAAGUUAUCUACAACCAUUCAAGAAAUACACAAGUCUGACAUAUAGGAUGUGGCAUGUUAAAAAAUAUGAUGGCGAAGUUCCUAAGAAACCAAUUCUUCAUUCACUUGACUACUACAAGAUAUUAUGUAAGGGACCAAGUCUAUGUUCACCAAGUCAACAUCAACUUCCUUAUGACCAAAAUGUGUUGACCAUGUUAUGAACAAAAGUGAUCACAAGAACAUCCUAGAUCAUCUUGUGGUCUUACUUUCUGCCAUUUGUCCGUGAAAAAGCACUCAUAUGUUUGAGGAUCAUAGGAAUGAGAAUUUUUUUCAAAUUUGUGUGUUGUCAAAAUGAGUAGAUGCUGGGAUUAUCUGCACGUAACUCCAAAAAAAUCAUGCCUACAUUUACUACGUGCUCUCUAUUUGAUUCAUCUAUAUUCCAUUUAAUCACUAAAUGCUCUGGUUCAUCUAUCUACUCGCCACUAAACUAUUCGCAGUCCUAAUAUAAAUUUUCACAAACCUAGUGUAAAUAUUCACUUCCAUUAGUAUAGGCAAGAACAAUAGAUUAUUAGUGAAUUUGGUUGCUAAUAGACUGAAAGUAUAGCAUGCACCUGGACCUGCGCCGCCGCCCACGUGAACCCGCACAGCCGCCGCCCUCCUGUACCUGCCCCGUUGGGCCCCGUGGCGGACUAACCCCAAUAC
Molecule: long non-coding RNA, 727 nt
Filed under: Hordeum vulgare
Lineage: Eukaryota; Viridiplantae; Streptophyta; Magnoliopsida; Poales; Poaceae
Description: long non-coding RNA (HVUL_LNC006682)
Source: RNAcentral